CGGAGGGUGCGAGCGUUGUCCGGAAUCACUGGGCGUAAAGGGCGCGUAGGCGGCCCGGUAAGUAGGGGGUGAAAUCUUGCGGCUUAACCGCAAGGCUGCCUUCUAGACUGCCAGGCUUGAGCACAGUAGAGGCAGGUGGAAUUCCCGGUGUAGCGGUGGAAUGCGUAGAGAUCGGGAAGAACAUCAGUGGCGAAGGCGGCCUGCUGGACUGUAGCUGACGCUGAGGCGCGACAGCGUGGGGAGCAAACAGGA
RNAcentral lists this ribosomal RNA (252 nucleotides) under uncultured bacterium. Its description in RNAcentral is "partial 16S ribosomal RNA". It matches the Rfam family "Bacterial small subunit ribosomal RNA", at positions 526 to 777 of the family's 1533-position model. The record is from RNAcentral.